UCCGUUGUCAUCUAGUCCGGUUAGGUACCUGGUUUUCACCCAGGCGACCCGGGUUCAAAUCCCGGCAACGGAA
Picea glauca (white spruce) is the source of this 73-nucleotide non-coding RNA. NCBI's taxonomy places the organism in Eukaryota, Viridiplantae, Streptophyta, Pinopsida, Pinales, Pinaceae. The record is from Rfam.